UGUCUCCUCCAAUUUUCCUCCUUAAGAGAUUGGAUUCAGCCCGCAACCUCUGGUUAGCGGGCUUUUUUUU
RNAcentral lists this non-coding RNA (70 nucleotides) under Herbaspirillum sp. Sphag64. RNAcentral's name for it is "Betaproteobacteria toxic small RNA". It matches the Rfam family "Betaproteobacteria toxic small RNA". From Rfam's summary of the family: Overexpression in amino aid rich medium attenuates growth, suggesting role in repressing amino acid intake and metabolism. RNAcentral also lists the same sequence under 1 other name. Lineage: Bacteria; Pseudomonadati; Pseudomonadota; Betaproteobacteria; Burkholderiales; Oxalobacteraceae. The record is from Rfam by way of RNAcentral.